This is a long non-coding RNA of Amaranthus tricolor (Joseph's coat), 697 nucleotides long. RefSeq lists it as uncharacterized. The transcript is spliced from 3 exons. The record is from RefSeq and is a predicted model, not a curated record. NCBI's taxonomy places the organism in Eukaryota, Viridiplantae, Streptophyta, Magnoliopsida, Caryophyllales, Amaranthaceae.
CUUCCCUCACUCACAAAGAAUCACGCCGCCCACUUCCUUUCCCUCUCACUCACGCUUCAGCCCAUUCCCUUCCCCACACCAGCAACUGCGGCACACCACCACCACCAGCCACAUAUUCUUCCUCCACCGGUGAGCAGCCAUCGUAGCAGCAGCUCCGCCUUCCUCCCUCACGGCACCCAGCAGCGGGCACCCAGCAGCGGGCACCCAGCAGCAACGGGCUGCUUUGUUCUCUUCCUCCGCCUUGCAGCAGCGUGAGUUUCCAAGCAACGGCAGCCACCUUCGUGGUGGUUUUCCCGGCAGCAGCAGCCCAACACCACCAUACCAAAUCCUUCCUUCUUCACCCUUCUCUUGUUUCAUCUUAGUGCCCAUUUCGUAAGAGGAAAGUAGAGCCUUAGUUGGGUGAUUUUGUGACUUUUGAUCGUGCAGUGACGCUUACAGCAGCAGGAUCAUAGACAGGCGUAGCAGGUACUAGAGCUUCUUUUGCAUUGCAUUGCAUUUGGGGAGAGUGAUGAGGGCGAAGCAUAACCUGUGUCAUACUGCUAUCCUUCGAUUGUUGUAGCUCUUGUUAUUUUUUUGUAAAUUUUGGUUGUAUAUGUUGGUUAUGAGGCCUUGUGUCCUCCCUCGUAUAUUUGUAUUUCCGUUGCGUAGUUUAUAACUCUGGAUGGUUUUAAAGAGUUAAGUCUUUUUAAAACUCAAA